UACACAGCAUUCUAGCUUGAGUGUUCGAGCCAAGACGUAGCAACUCGAAAACUGUUUUUUUUUAUCGAUGAACGAUUAAUAGCUUUGUUUGCGCUUCUCUUUCAAUGCUCAUUGUCGCACACAUACGCUGAAUGAAAUUUCUCGAAACAGGCUUGUGACAUAUACUAGUUGAGUAGGUACGCUGGUUCCUACAUCUGUUUCGGAUGCAUUAUCAUCUGUUAGUUAAGUACCAUACAAUGUAGUAUCACCACUCUUACUGAUUAUCACUCGCAUUCAGACGUCUUCCUUAUCAUGUAACGCGUCAAGUAACGAAAUCUUGCGGCAGCAUUCUUAGAAGCUUGUAGUACUGCAAUUUAGGUAUUUCGUAUUUACAACAGAUAUGCUGGUAUAUUGAGGUGAAAUAUAACUCCAGUUGAUAAUUUGAUGAGCUGAGAUAAGACGUUUUUGCAAUUUAACGCAUUGGGAUGUGUUGCCCCUUCUCUACCUUUUCGCAGAAAAAAACCCAGAGAUUAAAAUUAACGUAAAAACGUGAUCUUUACACAUUGAGCACUGCGCAGAAAUCUAGCCGAGAAACAUCGUAAUUCGGCACUCUUUAUCUCAAAAUUCGCUGGACUAAAUUUUACACAUUUAAUAUCUUUGAGUUAUCGUACCGAGUUUGUAGCUGUGCUUUGGUCAAAGCCCAAAAAUUCUCGGUUGGCCGUGCCUUAGGGCAAUUGGCGGAUUCAUGUUUUUCGGCACAGAACAGACGUUUUGGAUUUGGAAACCCCACUCGUGUGUCUUUGGCGUAAUGACAUGAUGCCAAAUCGGGCCAAAAUAUGACGGGUCCAUCAUGCUGGUUGAUCAUCGGCAAUAAACGCUUCUGGAGGCAUUCCUUGAUAUAGUUCUGGGUGUUCAUUGUUUCCGAUAUGACGUAUUGGCUACCACGCCAUCCCAUUUUACCAAAUUUUUCGGUGAAAAUGGCCUUCCGUCCUUGUCACUGAACUGAAUUUCGAACCCAAAUGUGCCAUUGAACGCACUCACGCAAUGACAGUUGUAGGAUUCGGAGAUGAGUUCGAAUGUAGGUGAGAAGUGAUCUUUACAGUCUAGGCGGGAAAAAUAAAAUCGAGUUAGCAUUGUAAACAAAACAAAGACAGUGGAAUUUCAAUUGAAGUAGUUUGGUGAUCCGAAGAAAGAAACUAAGGCUAAUUAGUGCACAGUAGUUAUUGUGAAAUUUAUAUACUUGCCCCAAAUUUACGUGCUAAGGUAGGCCCGGAAUGAAACUGGAAUUGUGUAGCAUAAAUUCUAAAUAAAAAUUAAUCUCUAUCUAGGCAGUUGCAAGUACUUAUUAGUACAGAAGGGUGCGAAGUAAAAACUGCGCAGGAAAGUUGAACCAGGUAUGCUUAUGCUUAGAUAUGAAAAGUGAUUACUCCUAAUGUGCGAAUGUUCGAUUCAGGUCACAAUACCACGCAGCGAAGCGUUUUUCAAUUCGGAAUCGCCAUAUCAAACCAAACUCCUACUAAGGUGAGAAAUCGAUAGAAAAAUUAAGUUGAUUUAUCUCUAACCUAGGUCUUUUAAGGUGUAGGGAAUAGCGGAAGCGAAAGGCUGAAAUCGAGGCAGAAUAAAACGGUAGAAGGUUCACUAAACGUAAGAAAACAAAUUACAAUUUAGAAUUUAUUGUACCUAAUUGUAAUUAAUACCGUAGGAAUUUAAAACGUGUCCCGGUAGAGCUUCGAACGGACAAAUAAAAGGGAACGUUACGAAUUUGAAAACGAACUUUCAUUGUUACCGCGAUCCGGAAGUAACAAACUACAUUUUAAAUUCGUUUAAGAAAAUGUCCGAAUCGCCAACAACGCGCAACGGGAAGAGCGGUCCUGCAACACUCACCUGUCCGGGUCCAGCGCUGUCCUGUUUCGCUAUGUUCCAGUCGUGGUGCAUGGAAACGGGAUUGUGAUCCAAUGCUACGCCUUCUUGGAUGACGGAUCCUUGCUAACGCUUAUGGACCAAGACCUAGCAGAUGAGCUGAACCUAAAAGGAGAACUUCGUCCCUUGGGCCUCAAGUGGACUGGAGGCACAUAUCGAACAGAGGCCAACAGUCAAAUCGUCAGUUUGGAUGUGUCCGGACUUAAAGGAAAGCGGUAUCACCUGGAGGAUGUAAGGACAGUGGAGGAGCUGCAACUGCCGUCUCAAACGCUCGACGUGACGCAGCUUCAGAGAGAUAACCCCUAUCUACGAGGAAUUCCCGUAGAUUCGUACACCGAUGUUCGACCUCGCCUGCUAAUCGGAGUGCAACACGCUAACGCGACGUUGGUCAGGAAGAGUCGAGAGGGCGAAUCCGGUCAACCAAUUGCAGUUAAGACCAACCUGGGGUGGACGAUCUACGGAGGAGUGCCGACGGGAGAGUCGCAUAGUAUGGUGCACUAUACCUACCACGUUUACGCCUGUGACUACCAGAUGCAAGACGAUGCUGACGGGAAGCUGGACCGCGCGGUGAAGGACUUCUUCUCUCUUGAGAGUCUAGGAAUAACAGCACCCACUAAGACGAUGCGCUCCGCCGACGAUGAGAGGGCCCUCAAGCUGUUACGUGAGCUAACCAAAUUCGAAGGCGAGAGAUAUACAACCGGCCUGCUCUGGAGAUACAACAUCACGCAUCUGCCAGACAGCAAACCGAUGGCGCUGAAGCGGUUUUUGAAUCUCGAGCGACGCAUGGCGAAAGACCCGGAGCUGAGGGGAGUACUGCAGCAAAAACUGGCUGAUUACGUCACCAAGGGCUAUGUUCGGAAGCUUACGAAGGAGGAACUGGAGGAAAACCACGAGCGUGUCUGGUACUUACCAGUUUUUCCGGUCAUCAACCCCAAUAAGCCAGGAAAAGUUCGACUCGUCGGGGACGCCGCAGCAACAACGCAUGAAGUGUCGCUGAACUCUUUACUACUCACGGGACCGGAUCUUACCACUCCGCUGGUUUCCGUGCUCUUCAAAUUUCGCGAACAUCGAUUUGGUAUUUGUGGCGACAUCAGGGAGAUGUUCCACCAGGUUGGAAUUAGAGGCGAAGACCAGCAUAGCCAGCGAUUUCUGUGGCGAGAUGAGAGAGAGCUAGGUGAACCCAGUGUUUACGUUAUGCAGGUGAUGACGUUCGGGGCGUGCUGUUCUCCUUCAAGUGCACAGUACGUGAAGAACAUGAACGCGGAACGUUUCAGCGAGCAGUUCCCAGCGGCCUCUGCGGCCAUAGUGCAGUGUACGUAUGUCGACGACAUGUUGUGUAGCACAGAGACCGAAGAGGAGGCGAUUGAGUUGGCGAAGACUGUUUGGGACAUCAACAAUCGAGGCGGGUUUGAAAUCCGCAAUUGGAUGUCCAACUCCGUUGGCAUACUAUCAGCGCUUCGUGGAGAUUCCUGUGCAGAGAAAAGCCUCGACCUGUCAUCCAGCCUAGCGACCGAGAAGGUAUUGGGAAUGUGGUGGUGUACUAAGACCGACUGUUUCACCUACAAAAUCAACUGGGAUCGGCUAGGACGUGAGCUGCUGGAAGGCAAUCGUUGCCCUACGAAACGUGAGGUACUCCGCAUCCUGAUGACCAUCUACGAUCCUCUAGGUCUCAUCGCGCACUUCCUAAUGUUUCUCAAGGUACUGCUACAGGAGAUCUGGCGGACCCGAGUAGGCUGGGACGAAAACAUCGACGAUAAGUGCUUCGAAAAGUGGCGAAAAUGGCUGCAUCUUCUUCCGGACGUUGAGAACGUCAGUAUUCCGCGGUGCUACAGGAUGUCUUCAUCGAUCGGUCAUCACACCGAGAUCCAGUUGCACACCUUUGUCGACGCUAGUGAAAAUGGCACGGCGGCAGCUGUUUAUCUCCGAUUCGUGGAAGGCGACAACAUCGAAUGCAGUCUCGUCACCGCUAAGAGUCGUGUAGCACCACUCAAGUAUCUCUCGAUUCCGAGGCUCGAACUUCAAGCGGCAGUAAUUGGAGCCAGAUUAGCUGCGUUUGUCAUGCAGGGACUAUCAGUCAAGGUUGCCCGUCGAGUUUUUUGGUCAGACUCCCGCAACGUUAUCGCCUGGAUACGUGCCGACCACCGCAAAUACAACGCAUUCGUCGCCGCGAGAGUCAGCGAAAUCCUAGAUCUCACGAGCGUAUCGAGCUGGAAGUGGGUCCCAACGAAGUGGAAUGUGGCGGACGAAGGCACGAAGUGGCAGUGUCAACCCUCCCUUACGAACGACAGCCGCUGGUUCAAAGCACCAGAAUUCCUGUGGCAAGCAGAAAAAGAAUGGCCAGAUACCCCGGAAAAACUGACAGAACCGGUGAAAGAGCUGAGAGCGUGCGUCAACGCGCACUUCCAAACGGAAAGCGAGAUCAUCCCCGUUAAAGAUUUCUCAACCUGGAGACGAUUGGUCAACACAACCGCCUACGUUUUUCGGUAUCUACGCCAGCUUCGACCAAAGAAAUUCACCCGCACCAUCGAAAUCCUUUCGAGCGAGGAGAUACACCAAGCUGAGGACUACCUUCUCCGCACCGCACAGCAUGACGUCUUCCGAACCGAGCUAAACAUUCUCCGACGCGACGACCGCAACGCAACGAUUCCCAAGCAAAGUCAGCUGUACAAGCUCAACCCGUUCAUCGAUGAAAAAGGAUUGCUGCGCAUGCACGGCAGGACUGGAGCGUGCAAGUUUCUAGCAGUGGGAAUCGCCAACCCUAUUAUCCUUCCGCGCGACCAUCCGAUAACGAAUCUCAUCGUUGAAAGCUACCACCAGAAGUUUCAUCAUCAAAACCACGAGUCAGUCAUCAACGAAGUUCGCCAGAAAUACUGCAUCAGUUUUCUACGCAGAGUAUACGCCAAGGUCAGGUCUAACUGUCAACGCUGCAAGCUGCGGGAAGCUCGUCCCCGACCUCCAGCAAUGGCUGACCUACCAAAGUGUCGACUAGCAGCUUUCGUUCGACCGUUCACACAUACCGGCAUCGACUAUUUUGGACCGAUGGAAGUGGCUAUAGGGAGAAGGGUUGAAAAAAGGUGGGGGGUUUUAUUAACUUGUCUCACUAUUCGCGGGGUCUACCUUGAUUUAGCUAGCUCUUUAACGACAAGCUCGUGCAUAAUGGUGAUCCGCAACUUCAUUGUGCGACGAGGAACACCUUCCGUUUUCUACAGCGACAGAGGAACUAACUUCAUCGGAGCCGAUCGGGAGUUGAAGCAAGCCCUGCAAGACGUCGACCAGCACAAGAUGGCUCAGGAGUUUGUUUCGGCGACCACCACUUGGUGUUUUAAUCCACCGGCAGCUCCCCAUAUGGGGGGGAGCUGGGAACGACUCGUGCAGUCCGUCAAGCGCACCUUAGUGGAACUGCAGCUACCCCAUCGCCCGAAGGAGGAAGAACUGAGGAGUGCUCUGGUCGAGAUCGAAGGCAUUAUCAACGCACGGCCGCUUACCCACGUACCCAUCGAAGACGACGCCGCACCAGCACUCACACCGAAUCAUUGGUUGCUGGGCAGUUCCGACGGAUUCAAACCAUGGGCCGAACUGGAAGUCAACUCCAUCGCUUUGAGUAGAGGUUGGCAUCUAUCGCAGCAGAUCGCGAACCACUUCUGGAAAAGAUGGCUGCGGGAGUACCUGCCGGAGAUCACCAGGCGUUCCAAGUGGCAUCAGAACGUACCACCGAUCAAAGAAGGUGACAUCGUGGUUAUAGUCGACUCGGAGCUGCCUAGGAAUUGCUGGCCCAAGGGACGAGUUAUCGGAACGGUAAACCGAGACGGGCAGGUGCGUACCGUAACAAUUAAGACGGCGAAAGGCGUCUACGAGAGACCGGCGGUAAAGGUUGCAGUGAUAGACGUAAGAGCUAAGGAGGAGUUUGCUGACUCAGAGGCGGAGUCAGCAAACUAGGGGGGAGUGUCACUGAACUGAAUUUCGAACCCAAAUGUGCCAUUGAACGCACUCACGCAAUGACAGUUGUAGGAUUCGGAGAUGAGUUCGAAUGUAGGUGAGAAGUGAUCUUUACAGUCUAGGCGGGAAAAAUAAAAUCGAGUUAGCAUUGUAAACAAAACAAAGACAGUGGAAUUUCAAUUGAAGUAGUUUGGUGAUCCGAAGAAAAAAACUAAGGCUAAUUAGUGCACAGUAGUUAUUGUGAAAUUUAUAUACUUACCCCAAAUUUACGUGCUAAGGUAGGCCCGGAAUGAAACUGGAAUUGUGUAGCAUAAAUUCUAAAUAAAAAUUAAUCUCUAUCUAGGCAGUUGCAAGUACUUAUUAGUACAGAAGGGUGCGAAGUAAAAACUGCGCAGGAAAGUUGAACCAGGUAUGCUUAUGCUUAGAUAUGAAAAGUGAUUACUCCUAAUGUGCGAAUGUUCGAUUCAGGUCACAAUACCACGCAGCGAAGCGUUUUUCAAUUCGGAAUCGCCAUAUCAAACCAAACUCCUACUAAGGUGUAGGGAAUAGCGGAAGCGAAAGGCUGAAAUCGAGGCAGAAUAAAACGGUAGAAGGUUCACUAAACGUAAGAAAACAAAUUACAAUUUAGAAUUUAUUGUACCUAAUUGUAAUUAAUACCGUAGGAAUUUAAAACGUGUCCCGGUAGAGCUUCGAACGGACAAAUAAAAGGGAACGUUACGAAUUUGAAAACGAACUUUCAUUGUUACCGCGAUCCGGAAGUAACAAACUACAGUCCUUGCGUACAGUGAAGUAUUGUGGCCAAGGAAGUAUAGCUCAAGUUCACAUAUCGUCCAUGAUAAUGCACCUAGAACUUUUGCAAAAUAUUGAAUCAUACAGCUUCAGGGCUCUUGGUUGGACAGAAGCGGCUUGAUUUGGGUUCCUUUUAGGGUUUUCUUCUGCUUCCGGUACGUCUUGAGCCCAAGUCGCUCUUCAGCACGCAUCACGUUUGACGACGAGGUCCCGACUUUUCUCGCCACAUCCUGAACAAAAGCCGAUGGUUUCUGUUUGCAGGCAUCCCUGACCUUCUUGUCGAAAGCAGGAUUUACGGGACCAGAUUUUCGACCUCUCCCCGGUUCCUCUUCAAAUGUACAAUGUUCACCAUAUUUUUUUAAUAGCUUUCCGUACCGCUUUGACGCUCACAUCCUCUUCUUUGUCCAAUUUUCUCAAUGAGAUUCCACUCACAGUAGACAACUUGUGCACGAUACUUUUUCACUUCUCCGAAGUAAGACCACACAUUUUGAAAUGUAAUCACAAACUUAAUAUUUUUUUGAUGUUAUCACGUACAGGAAUGUGUUAACAGAGCACGCAGCCAGUAGAAUUUGAAAAAAAAUAUUCGAUUCAGAAUGACCGUUAACAUUAGGUGUCCUUUUAGUUUCUAAAAAAAAACAAAAAUUUUACUAGCUUUUCUUCAUUGGCUGGAUGCAAAACUUCUACUAACCAAUGUCCAAUGCCGUUGCAUAUACACUGCAUUCUCCGAUGAUGUGUGAGACGGUGAGAGAGUCUAGUCAGAGCUCGUUGUUCCAAUGAAUUUUUUCUGUCCUUCCAAGCAAGCGUAAAGGUUUUGGGUUCGUCGGUACGUCUCGGUGGUUAGCGUGGUAAGACGGUAAUCUCUGGGUCUACUGAUGACAUAGCUUCGAUGGCCAUUUAGGUACUGGGUGUACAAUGUUAAUCUUAAGUUGUCAACGUCUAUUCAGUCAGUUAGUAAAGCCUAAAUCGGCCAAAACGGUGUAUUUUUUUUAAGAAGCAACUUUGAACACUUCCAUCCCAAUCCUGAUAAUGUCUUGCACAGGAAUAUCCGUUGUAAUUCUGUGAUCAUUCCUUCUUUCUGCAGCUAGACUAUCGGCUUUUGUAUUACCAUCUAUCCCAAAAUGUUGACACCUUACCAAUAGGCUAAAUCGUCAGAUGUAAACUAGAUGGUAGUCAAGCUGUAGCUCUAUAAUUCAUUUGACUUCAUCGAGUUGAGUUCGCUGCUAGAUUCUACGGCAGAAAAUGCUCAUAGUGCCCCGAUUAAUGGUGCUCUGUUCGCCCCGAGUCAACCACUUAAAUUAAAAAAGUGUUUUAAAAUGGAAUAUAGUAAAAAAAUUAAUGAUGGCGAAAAUUGAGGAACAAUGUGUACAUCAUGUUGCGUACAUUAUAGAUCAAAAUGAUUUAACGAUCAUAAGAGCUCAUUUUACGAUGCUCAAAAAUUAAAAAAAUUUUGGCACUUAAGAACCUAGUUAGUUUUCAUUUGAUAUUUCUGUGAAGAUGAUAAGGAGAUUUAUUUUUUUGCUGGAAAAUUUAUACUAUAGAAACUACAUAACUGUUCCUAAUGAAAAUUUAUUUGAGAAUAUACCUAGUCUAAGUAAAUCCCACAGGUUUUUUUUUACAAAAAUGAAAAAUAGUCAAAUCCGUUUUAACCUUUGAGAUUAAGAGAAAGACACACAAUUUUCUUAUAAAAACAUUUCACCAAU
This is an RNA transcript of Uranotaenia lowii, 8324 nucleotides long. RefSeq lists it as uncharacterized. The transcript is spliced from 2 exons. The record is from RefSeq and is a predicted model, not a curated record. Lineage: Eukaryota; Metazoa; Arthropoda; Insecta; Diptera; Culicidae.